UACGGAGGGGACUAGCGUUGUUCGGAAUUACUGGGCGUAAAGCGCACGUAGGCGGAUCUGUAAGUCAGGGGUGAAAUCCCGGGGCUCAACCUCGGAACUGCCUUUGAUACUGCAAAUCUCGAGUCCGGAAGAGGUGAGUGGAAUUCCUAGUGUAGAGGUGAAAUUCGUAGAUAUUAGGAAGAACACCAGUGGCGAAGGCGGCUCACUGGUCCGGUACUGACGCUGAGGUGCGAAAACGUGGGGAGCAAACAGG
Molecule: ribosomal RNA, 253 nt
Filed under: uncultured bacterium
Lineage: Bacteria
Description: partial 16S ribosomal RNA
Rfam family: Bacterial small subunit ribosomal RNA
Source: RNAcentral